This 206-nucleotide ribosomal RNA is filed under the name uncultured bacterium. Its description in RNAcentral is "partial 16S ribosomal RNA". It matches the Rfam family "Bacterial small subunit ribosomal RNA", at positions 568 to 774 of the family's 1533-position model. The record is from RNAcentral.
UGCGCAGGCGGUUCGGAAAGAAAGAUGUGAAAUCCCAGAGCUUAACUUUGGAACUGCAUUUUUAACUACCGGGCUAGAGUGUGUCAGAGGGAGGUGGAAUUCCGCGUGUAGCAGUGAAAUGCGUAGAUAUGCGGAGGAACACCGAUGGCGAAGGCAGCCUCCUGGGAUAACACUGACGCUCAUGCACGAAAGCGUGGGAGCAAACA